GUACGAAAGAAAAAGAAAAACGCAGCCACGCUCUGCCUCGCGGCGCUCCGCCCCGCCCAACCCACCUCCAGCCACGCCCCGCGCGCCGCCGGCCGACUCCUGCCUCCCAAUCCCUUGUCCUCCCCACCCGGGGCUUUCUUCGCCGUUCAUAGCUCCCCUCCACUGACUGGUCGCGACCUCGCUGGAGGCACAGGAUGGGAGGGUGCGGCGCUGGCAUCCGGCUCACAGAGAUCGAGCGGACCGAUCUGCGCGCCGGCGACCUCGCGGGAGGCAGAGGAUGGGAUGGCGUGCUGCGCUCAAGACGAGCGGGCUCGAGUAAGGGUAUCGGAGGUUGGCGCCGGCGGGCUCGUGGACGGGGAUGGAGAGGGCAGGUGCCAAUCCGCCGUGACAAGAAAGCUGCUGCGGCGCCGACCGGCCAGCUCCAUCUCCACGAUUCCAUGGACGGCGGUGGCGUCGUCGCGGGGGCGGCCUGCCGGGAGAGCGAGUGGCUGCGCGCGUAGGCCGUGGCGAUGAUGCCACGGAUGGAGGCGCUCGCCGCCGGCCGCGCGCGGCUGGAGGCCGUCAACGCGCUGCAGCACGAGUCCUGGCCCCUAGGAGGCCCGCGACGUUCGCCUCCAGUGGGGCCUCCUCAAGGUGACCCCUCCGCUCCAUCCACUCCCUCCUUUUUAUCUUAGGGUUUCGAUCGGCUCCUCACUGAUGCUAUUGACUAGCGUGUGCUCGAGGAGAUGUCAGGCGGAUGAGAACUGGAGGAUGUGGGAGGCAACGUGCAUGGCCCUACUGCGCUCCGACGAUGACCGGAUGUUCCUCGGUUGCUACGGACUGCUACCCUUGUCUGCUGCACUGAAUGUAGAACCCCUAAUUCCCUAAAGAGUGAAAAUGAGGAUCUAAAGAUUUUAUACAAGUGUUGGAGCUGGAAAACGAGGAGCUUAAGAUAACAGCCAACGACCCGGGGAGGAGGAGGACGCACGGCAGCGUCAGAAUCAGCGCGUCGUAUCCGGCCGAGGCUUAUGUCGACACGGACGCCGAGGCUCUGGCCGCAGCCGCCGCGCUCUAUGCCCCGCCCCUGCUCGCCGAGCCCUGCCUCUUCGGAUCUCCAGCCAUGGAGGUCGCUUCUGGCAUGUUCCGCAAGUUCAAAACAAAGAACAUCUCUAUUUGCACAGCCCUUCAGGGGAACAAAUGGAUUUCUGCACUCCGUCAGGUCAACACCACUGAGUUAGUUCAUGAAUUUAUCAAAUAAUGGUUGUUGAUUAGAGAGAUGCAAAUACCACAUGCCAAGAUGUCGUCUCCUGGUGUUGGACAGCAGAUGGAAUGUAUAUGACGCACUCAACCUACAAGGCAAUGUUCUGGGGCUCUUACUCGAGCACUUGCUCUCAAACUUUCUGGAAGGCUUUGGCUGAAAACAAAGUAAAAAAAUUCUGUUGACACCUGUCGCUUGGGAGGAUUCUGACCGUGGACAAGCUGAUCCAGAGAGGAUGGCAAGGAAGCGAGAUUUGUUCGAUGUGCAGUUCGCGGGAGGAGUCAGUGGAGCAUCUUCUUCUGAACUUCUAUUUUGCUCGCCAAUUUUGGAGGAGGAUCGCGGCUUGGUCUUGUUUCGAUUUGAGACAUUAUGACGUGAAGAUGGCCUCCGGGAGGGCACGGUUUACUCUUGGUGGCUGGAGCGAGCCUGCCAAAUCCUUACGACCAACUAGCGAAAGUUUGAUGGGACUGUUGCUUACACUUUUUGGCAGAUUUGAAAAGAUAGGAAUGAGAGAGUUUUUGACAAUGCUUAUGCUGGUGUCGAGGACACUUUCUUUGGAAUUUAGGAGUCCAUCCUAACGAGAGAGUUGGCAUUUGCCACAGUGAUACUGUAUGAUGGAGGCUAAGGCCAUCAUAUCGAAUUGUAACCAGGUUUCAGCCUAAACUUGUGUUUUUCUUCU
Triticum aestivum (bread wheat) is the source of this 1916-nucleotide long non-coding RNA. RefSeq lists it as uncharacterized. The transcript has 4 exons. The record is from RefSeq and is a predicted model, not a curated record. Lineage: Eukaryota; Viridiplantae; Streptophyta; Magnoliopsida; Poales; Poaceae.